CCUACGGGGGGCAGCAGUAGGGAAUAUUGCUCAAUGGGGGAAACCCUGAAGCAGCAACGCCGCGUGGAGGAUGAAGGUUUUCGGAUUGUAAACUCCUUUUGUUAGAGAAGAUAAUGACGGUAUCUAACGAAUAAGCACCGGCUAACUCCGUGCCAGCAGCCGCGGUAAUACGGAGGGUGCAAGCGUUACUAGGAAUCACUGGGCGUAAAGAGCGCGUAGGCGGGAUAGCAAGUCAGAUGUGAAAUCCUAUGGCUAAACCAUAGAACUGCAUUUGAAACUGUUAUUCUAGAGAAUGGGAGAGGUAGGUGGAAUUCUUGGUGUAGGGGUAAAAUCCGUAGAGAUCAAGAGGAAUACUCAUUGCGAAGGCGACCUGCUAGAACAUAACUGACGCUGAUGCGCGAAAGCGUGGGGAGCAAACAGGAUUAGAUACCCCGGUAGUC
RNAcentral lists this ribosomal RNA (440 nucleotides) under uncultured bacterium. Its description in RNAcentral is "partial 16S ribosomal RNA". It matches the Rfam family "Bacterial small subunit ribosomal RNA", at positions 338 to 795 of the family's 1533-position model. The record is from RNAcentral.